Molecule: transfer RNA, 74 nt
Filed under: Candidatus Woesearchaeota archaeon
Lineage: Archaea; Nanobdellati; Candidatus Woesearchaeota
Description: tRNA-Lys
Rfam family: tRNA
About the family: Transfer RNA (tRNA) molecules are approximately 80 nucleotides in length.
Source: RNAcentral
GGGCUCGUAGCUCAGCUUGGUGGAGCGACUGGCUCUUAACCAGUAGGUCGGGGGUUCAAAUCCCUCCGGGCCCA